Molecule: long non-coding RNA, 261 nt
Filed under: Lathyrus oleraceus (garden pea)
Lineage: Eukaryota; Viridiplantae; Streptophyta; Magnoliopsida; Fabales; Fabaceae
Description: Pisum sativum (pea) long non-coding RNA (PSAT_LNC039020)
Source: RNAcentral
UUUUUUAAAGAAAAUAAAAAAUUAGUUUUAAAGAAAUUGAUUUAAAACUGUUUUUUUUAAACUAUUUUUUUUUGAAAAACCGGUUUAAAACCGAACCGGUCCACUUAUAAACCGAUUUCUAAAAAAUAAAUUGGUUUUAUGAAAAUGGUUUUAAGAACCAAACCGAACCAUAGAUAUGGUUCAAUUUAGUUUGGUUCAUGAUCCAUUCACACCCCUAAUCACAUGGGGAGGUUUGUGCCCCAACCCCAUCCCGCAUGUCCC